GAUGAACGAUGGCGGGGGGAAGAAUGCAUGCAAGUCGAGCGAACGGACGAGAAGCUUGCUUCUCUGAUGUUAGCGGCGGACGGGUGAGUAACACGUGGAUAACCUACCUAUAAGACUGGGAUAACUUCGGGAAACCGGAGCUAAUACCGGAUAAUAUUUUGAACCGCAUGGUUCAAAAGUGAAAGGCGGUCUUGCUGUCACUUAUAGAUGGAUCCGCGCUGCAUUAGCUAGUUGGUAAGGUAACGGCUUACCAAGGCAACGAUGCAUAGCCGACCUGAGAGGGUGAUCGGCCACACUGGAACUGAGACACGGUCCAGACUCCUACGGGAGGCAGCAGUAGGGAAUCUUCCGCAAUGGGCGAAAGCCUGACGGAGCAACGCCGCGUGAGUGAUGAAGGUCUUCGGAUCGUAAAACUCUGUUAUUAGGGAAGAACAUAUGUGUAAGUAACUGUGCACAUCUUGACGGUACCUAAUCAGAAAGCCACGGCUAACUACGUG
Molecule: ribosomal RNA, 497 nt
Filed under: uncultured bacterium
Lineage: Bacteria
Description: partial 16S ribosomal RNA
Rfam family: Bacterial small subunit ribosomal RNA
Source: RNAcentral